UACGGGGGGGGUAAGCGUUGUUCGGAAUUACUGGGCGUAAAGGGCUCGUAGGCGGCCAACUAAGUCAGACGUGAAAUCCCUCAGCUUAACUGGGGAACUGCGUCUGAUACUGGAUGGCUUGGAUUCGGGAGAGGAAUGCGGAAUUCCAGGUGUAGCGGUGAAAUGCGUAGAUAUCUGGAGGAACACCGGUGGCGAAGGCGGGUCUCUGGGCCGAUACUGACGCUGAGGAGCGAAGGCGUGGGGAGCGAACAGG
Molecule: ribosomal RNA, 253 nt
Filed under: uncultured bacterium
Lineage: Bacteria
Description: partial 16S ribosomal RNA
Rfam family: Bacterial small subunit ribosomal RNA
Source: RNAcentral